RNAcentral lists this long non-coding RNA (279 nucleotides) under Phoenix dactylifera (date palm). RNAcentral describes it as "long non-coding RNA (PDAC_LNC021019)". The record is from RNAcentral. Lineage: Eukaryota; Viridiplantae; Streptophyta; Magnoliopsida; Arecales; Arecaceae.
GAGUUGCUUCUCUUUGAAGCCAUUUCAGCCUUAAAAUAGCACUUGAUUGUACUUGAGAGGGGGAGAACGCAUGAAUGAAAUUUGAGGGUUUCUUUUAUGUGAGAGCUUCACCUUUGUUCUUGGAUUAGAACUUGAUAGUGUUGGUUCUACCGGCAGGUCGCGGUUAGGGUCACGCUUCUUUUGAUAACUUUGGUUCUACCGGCAGGUCGCGGUUAGGGUCAAGUUCCUCAUUCUCUACCUGUUUCCAGGACGGUCCGAAGUGUGCUCUUAUCAAAAUCU